Molecule: ribosomal RNA, 484 nt
Filed under: uncultured bacterium
Lineage: Bacteria
Description: partial 16S ribosomal RNA
Rfam family: Bacterial small subunit ribosomal RNA
Source: RNAcentral
GACGAACGCUGGCGGCGUGCUUAACACAUGCAAGUCGAACGAUGAAGCCGGAGCUUGCUCUGGUGAAUUAGUGGCGAACGGGUGAGUAACACGUGAGUAACCUGCCCUUGACUCUGGGAUAACUGCGGGAAACUGUAGCUAAUACCGGAUACGACCCUCGGAGGCAUCUCCUGGGGGUGGAAAGAAUUUCGGUCAAGGAUGGACUCGCGGCCUAUCAGGUAGUUGGUGAGGUAAAGGCUCACCAAGGCGACGACGGGUAGACGGCCUGAGAGGGGGACCGGCCACACUGGGAAUGAGACACGGCCCAGACUCCUAAGGGAGGCAGCAGUGGGGAAUAUUGCACAAUGGGCGCAAGCCUGAUGCAGCAACGCCGCGUGAGGGAUGACGGCCUUCGGGUUGUAAACCUCUUUUAGCAGGGAAGAAGCGAAAGUGACGGUACCUGCAGAAAAAGCACCGGCUAACUACGUGCCAGCCGCCGCCGUAA